This is a long non-coding RNA of Mirounga angustirostris (Northern elephant seal), 1193 nucleotides long. RefSeq lists it as uncharacterized. The record is from RefSeq and is a predicted model, not a curated record. NCBI's taxonomy places the organism in Eukaryota, Metazoa, Chordata, Mammalia, Carnivora, Phocidae. The transcript is spliced from 4 exons.
CACCGCUGGGUUUGCUGGUUCCCGGGCCGUGGGGCGCUGGGGCUGCUGCGCUGGAGUGGGGCUUUAGGUCCCCGACGACAGGACCUUUGGCGCCCUUCUCGUCUCCCACCGUGGCCACAAAUAGUUUAUCUCCUCAGAUUUUAUUUUUAAGUCAUCUCUACAUCCAACAUGAGGCUCAAACUCACAACCCCAAGAUCAAGAGUCGCCUGCUCCACCGACUGAGCCCACCAGAGAGAGAACACAAGCAGGGGGAGCAGCAGAGGGAGAGGAAGAAGCACACUCCAUGCUGAGCAGGGAGCCUGAUGUGGGGCUCGAUCCCAGGACCCCGGGAUCAUGACCUGAGCUGAAGGCAGACACUUAACCGACGGAGCCACCCAGGUGCCCCAAAUCAGGAUCCAAGAGUGCCAUUCUCAGGACUGCAGGCAUUUUAUUGAAAAGUCUCUGGACAACUGCAGUCACAUCGGCUUGUGCUCCUGACUAGUUGUUGAACCUCAAGCAAAUCUCACAUGCUUUCCUCUUCAGCUACAUAGAAGUAACAGUGUACCUCCCUCUUAAAAUGGUUUGGAGGCUCAAACGAACGGUUUAUUGAAAGCUCCUGGGAAACGAUCAAAUCUUAAUAGAAAUGGAGACAAUCGAUAACUAUUACAUUUUUUAUGAAGAGAAAUGUGUCGUUUAAAAAAAAACCAUGUGAAUAAUUUUGAGGACUGGAUAUGGGAACAAGUCUUUCAGUGUGUUCUGAAGCCUGGAUGCUGCAUUAAGAUUUGCUCUUGCUGUGUUGCUCUGAAUGACAAAGACUCAGCUCCAACCGCCUAUGGACCCAGCGGCUGCUGAAUUAACUGCAGAUCAGCUCAAGAACCACUGUGCCAUGCCACACUGGAAGGAGCCGCCCUUUAAAUGUUUCGACCCUUGAAUUUGCUAAGUGGAGAUAUUUCCUGAUUAAUUUGAGCUGCAGAUGGGUUGUGGAGACUAAGAGCUAGAUGACCAUAAUUAGGAAAGAAGUAUGGCUGGGGUGCACAUGGAGGAAAGAAAAAAAUGGAACAUUAAAAAUGGGCAGCUGCAUAAACGAACCAGGGAUUCGAAUUAUUUUAAUUUUUCUUGACUAUCAGUCAAGGUUUGAUCAGGGAACAGAAAUCACAACAGUGAUUUGAACAAAAAGAAUUUAAUAUAAAGAAUUGCUGGGGCGCUAGGGUGGC